RNAcentral lists this ribosomal RNA (849 nucleotides) under Linocarpon arengae. RNAcentral's name for it is "SSU rRNA". It matches the Rfam family "Eukaryotic small subunit ribosomal RNA", at positions 262 to 1132 of the family's 1831-position model. Lineage: Eukaryota; Fungi; Ascomycota; Sordariomycetes; Chaetosphaeriales; Linocarpaceae. The record is from RNAcentral.
CGAAUCGUCAGGCCUUGUGCCGGCGAUGGCUCUAUCAAAUUUCUUCCCUAUCAACUUUCGAUGUUUGGGUCUUGUCCAAACAUGGUGGCAACGGGUAACGGAGAGUUAGGGCUCGACUCCGGAGGAGGAGCCUGAGAAACGGCUACUACAUCCAAGGAAGGCAGCAGGCGCGCAAAUUACCCAAUCCCGACGCGGGGAGGUAGUGACAAUAAAUACUGAUACAGGGCUCUUUUGGGUCUUGUAAUCGGAAUGAGUACAAUUUAAAUCCCUUAACAAGGAACAAUUGGAGGGCAAGUCUGGUGCCAGCAGCCGCGGUAAUUCCAGCUCCAAUAGCGUAUAUUAAAGUUGUUGUGGUUAAAAAGCUCGUAGUUGAACCUUGGGCCUGGCUGGCCGGUCCGCCUCACCGCGUGCACUGGUCCGGCCGGGCCUUUCCCUCUGCGGAACCCCAUGCCCUUCACUGGGUGUGGCGGGGAAACAGGACUUUUACUUUGAAAAAAUUAGAGUGCUCAAGGCAGGCCUAUGCUYGAAUACAUUAGCAUGGAAUAAUAGAAUAGGACGUGUGGUUUUAUUUUGUUGGUUUCUAGGACCSCCGUAAUGAUUAAUAGGGACAGUCGGGGGCAUCAGUAUUCAAUUGUCAGAGGUGAAAUUYUUGGAUUUAUUGAAGACUAACUACUGCGAAAGCAUUUGCCAAGGAUGUUUUCAUUAAUCAGGAACGAAAGUUAGGGGAUCGAAGACGAUCAGAUACCGUUGUAGUUUUAACCAUAAACUAUGCCGACUAGGGAUCGGACGAUGUUACAUUUUUGACGCGUUCGGCACCUUACGAGAAAUCAAAGGCUUGGCUCCAGGGAG